AUGGACAGAUGCUUAGGUUCCAGUGAUGGCUGUUUUAUGAGAGCCUUGGCUAAACGAUGCAACAAUGGGAUUGGAAGAACCAGAUGGCAAAAGAAGUAUUUCUCCUGGGAGCCCUUGAAUUUAUGCUUUUACCACUGCAGUCAACAGCUAAAAUGUUCACCUGCAGUAGAACCGACCGGUGAUAAGACGAUGAAUGAAGUCUUUCAUUGCCAGAGCUCAUAAUAUUCCACCUUACAGCAGAUUCAUAGACAUCCUGCCCAAGGCAUCAGAAUCCACAAUCUGCUGCUGCUUCUAUGGAGCCUCUGGAUCUUUGCCAAUAGCCCCUUGAGAUGGUCCCAGAUGUGACUGCUUUUUCUGUGCUACCCUGAAAAUAUCCGGUAAACACAAAGGGCUGCACUCACCACAGUUACCGCUUCGGAGGCCAGCACUUCCUCUGCUGUCAGGACUAUACAGUGAGAAAUGUUGGUCAUGAUGUACCCCAGAGUAACCACAACUCAAAUGGCAGGGUUGCAAUCAAAGGAAUAUUCCUAUAAUAGAAUAAAGCAAAUCCUUUUAUUGUACCUCUCA
RNAcentral lists this long non-coding RNA (567 nucleotides) under Apteryx owenii (little spotted kiwi). Its description in RNAcentral is "lncRNA (ENSAOWG00000001779.1)". Lineage: Eukaryota; Metazoa; Chordata; Aves; Apterygiformes; Apterygidae. The record is from RNAcentral.